GGGGGAAUUUUCCGCAAUGGGCGCAAGCCUGACGGAGCAACGCCGCGUGGGGGAGGAAUGUCUGUGGAUUGUAAACCCCUUUUCUCAGGGAAGAAGCUCUGACGGUACCUGAGGAAUCAGCAUCGGCUAACUCCGUGCCAGCAGCCGCGGUAAGACGGAGGAUGCAAGCGUUAUCCGGAAUUAUUGGGCGUAAAGCGUCCGUAGGCGGUUUAUCAAGUCUGCCGUUAAAGACUGCAGCUUAACUGUGGGCGAGCGGUGGAAACUGAUUAACUAGAGUACGGUAGGGGUAGAGGGAAUUCCCAGUGUAGCGGUGAAAUGCGUAGAUAUUGGGAAGAACACCAGUGGCGAAGGCGCUCUACUGGGCCGUAACUGACGCUGAGGGACGAAAGCUAGGGGAGCGAAAGGGAUUAGAUACCCCUGUA
RNAcentral lists this ribosomal RNA (422 nucleotides) under Leptolyngbya sp. 102a-1. RNAcentral's name for it is "bacterial SSU rRNA". It matches the Rfam family "Bacterial small subunit ribosomal RNA", at positions 355 to 792 of the family's 1533-position model. The record is from RNAcentral. Lineage: Bacteria; Bacillati; Cyanobacteriota; Cyanophyceae; Leptolyngbyales; Leptolyngbyaceae.